RNAcentral lists this ribosomal RNA (253 nucleotides) under uncultured bacterium. RNAcentral describes it as "partial 16S ribosomal RNA". It matches the Rfam family "Bacterial small subunit ribosomal RNA", at positions 524 to 776 of the family's 1533-position model. The record is from RNAcentral.
UACGGAGGAUGCAAGCGUUAUCCGGAUUUAUUGGGUUUAAAGGGUCCGUAGGCGGGUUAAUAAGUCAGCGGUGAAAUCCUACAGCUUAACUGUAGAACUGCCGUUGAUACUGUUAAUCUUGAAUAGUAUUGAAGUAGCUGGAAUGUGUAGUGUAGCGGUGAAAUGCAUAGACAUUACACAGAACACCGAUUGCGAAGGCAGGUUACCAGUCUGUAUCUGACGCUGAUGCACGAAAGUGUGGGGAGCGAACAGG